Molecule: ribosomal RNA, 264 nt
Filed under: uncultured archaeon
Lineage: Archaea
Description: partial 16S ribosomal RNA
Rfam family: Archaeal small subunit ribosomal RNA
Source: RNAcentral
CACGACUACAUUAGAUACCCGCGUAGUCCUAGCCGUAAACGAUACUCGCUAGGUGUCGGCCACGGUGCGACCGUUGUCGGUGCCGUAGGGAAGCCGUGAAGCGAGCCACCUGGGAAGUACGGCCGCAAGGCUGAAACUUAAAGGAAUUGGCGGGGGAGCACAACAACGGGUGGAGCUUGCGGUUUAAUUGGAUUCAACGCCGGAAAUCUUACCGGGACCGACAGCAACAUGAAGGCCAAGCUGAAGACUUUGCCGGAUUAGCUG